GCUGGUGUCUUUAGCGAUACGGAACCACUCCUUCCCAUUCCGAACAGGAUAGUGAAACGUAUCAGCGGCGACAAUAGUACCAUUCGGUGCGAAGAUAGCUCGAUGCCAGUA
RNAcentral lists this ribosomal RNA (111 nucleotides) under Candidatus Curtissbacteria bacterium RIFCSPHIGHO2_01_FULL_40_12. Lineage: Bacteria; Candidatus Curtissiibacteriota. The record is from RNAcentral. RNAcentral also lists the same sequence under 2 other names.